UAUUGCACAAUGGGGGAAACCCUGAUGCAGCAACGCCGCGUGAGUGAAGAAGUAUUUCGGUAUGUAAAGCCCUAUCAGCAGGGAAGAAGAUGACAGUACCUGACCAAGAAGCCCCGGCUAACUACGUGCCAGCAGCCGCGGUAAUACGUAGGGGGCAAGCGUUAUCCGGAUUUACUGGGUGUAAAGGGAGCGUAGGUGGCAUGGCAAGCCAGAAGUGAAAACCCGGGGCUUAACCCCGCGGAUUGCUUUUGGAACUGUCCAGCUGGAGUGCAGGAGAGGUAAGCGGAAUUCCUAGUGUAGCGGUGAAAUGCAUAGAUAUUAGGAGGAACACCAGUGGCGAAGGCGGCUUACUGGACUGUAACUGACACUGAGGCUCGAAAGCGUGGGGAGCAAACAGG
Molecule: ribosomal RNA, 398 nt
Filed under: uncultured bacterium
Lineage: Bacteria
Description: bacterial SSU rRNA
Rfam family: Bacterial small subunit ribosomal RNA
Source: RNAcentral